This 602-nucleotide ribosomal RNA is filed under the name uncultured Acidobacteriota bacterium. RNAcentral's name for it is "bacterial SSU rRNA". It matches the Rfam family "Bacterial small subunit ribosomal RNA", at positions 8 to 590 of the family's 1533-position model. The record is from RNAcentral. Lineage: Bacteria; Pseudomonadati; Acidobacteriota.
AGAGUUUGAUCCUGGCUCAGAAUCAACGCUGGCGGCGUGCCUAACACAUGCAAGUCGAACGCGAAAGGGGCUUCGGCCCUGAGUAGAGUGGCGAACGGGUGAGUAACGCGUGGGUGACCUACCUUCGAGUGGGGGAUAACGUUCCGAAAGGAGCGCUAAUACCGCAUGAAGUUCCGGGUUUGAACAUCUGGAAACCAAAGCCGGGGAUCGCAAGACCUGGCGCUUGGAGAGGGGCCCGCGUCUGAUUAGCUAGUUGGCGGGGUAAUGGCCCACCAAGGCGACGAUCAGUAGCCGGCCUGAGAGGGCGGACGGCCACACUGGGACUGAGACACGGCCCAGACUCCUACGGGAGGCAGCAGUGGGGAAUUGUUCGCAAUGGGCGCAAGCCUGACGACGCAACGCCGCGUGGGGGAUGAAGGUCUUCGGAUUGUAAACCCUUGUCGAGCGGGACGAAUGGCCCGCGACCUAACACGUCGUGGGAGUGACGGUACCGCUAAAGGAAGCCACGGCUAACUCUGUGCCAGCAGCCGCGGUAAUACAGAGGUGGCAAGCGUUGUUCGGAAUUACUGGGCGUAAAGGGCGCGUAGCGGCCUUCUAAGUCA